CUGUAUAUCACUUACUCCAAAACUCAGUGUGUUUACAGUGCCCACGGGAAUGAAAAAGCAGAAGACCUCGUAAACUAAAUAGUUUCCUAAUUAACAUAUUUAAUCUAAAACACCCCAGCAACUUAGCUUGAGGGGGAGAAAGAAGGAGGAGAAAUGUGCUAUCCUUGAGAAUGCUCUUCCUCUGCUUAUCUUGAAGGCACAGCUAUACACCUCUGGAAGGUUGCCCUAACCUACACCUCUAGCCCUCUGCAGCAGUGAGAAGAGUGUCUUGCUGUACUCUUAUCCAUUUCAGCCACAGGUCCUUCCCUUUUACACUGUGCUUUGUUGCUUUCUUUUCAGCCAUUUAAGACCAAGUGCUAUUGUCCUCUGCUGCUGCUGCCGCUGCUGCUGGAGCACGGCAAGACUUUGAAACAGUCUCCAUGACAAUCAGAGAGAUGCAGUCUGGAUCCUAAUGGGGGUGACACAUGGCUGUGACUGUAUCCUGCAGAGCAAGGUUCUUUGUAUCACAUUUGAGCCAAGAAGCAUCUGAGCGAAAAGGUAUCCUGAAUACUGAAAUACUGGAUAUUUGUGUGUGUUUUUAAUGGACCAUGUGCAAACAGCCAUACAAAGUUAGUGAAGGAGGUAGCGGUUAUCCUACAGAAGGAAAUGUAGAACAAGAUGUGCAGAUUUGGAGACGAUGUGGAACUGACAACCUGAGAAAUGCCAUCCAUAAAGGAAGGCAAUGACUCAGAAGCCAGAGGGGGUCACUGAGGGAAGAAACCCAGGCCAGAAUAGAUCCCCAGGACACAUUUGCAAAGAGAUAAAAAUAGGAGAAAUGCUUUAGUUUUCACACAAUAAAGAAAGUUGCUAGAUUUGAAGAAUAA
RNAcentral lists this long non-coding RNA (863 nucleotides) under Zonotrichia albicollis (white-throated sparrow). Its description in RNAcentral is "lncRNA (ENSZALG00000011984.1)". Lineage: Eukaryota; Metazoa; Chordata; Aves; Passeriformes; Passerellidae. The record is from RNAcentral.